Molecule: ribosomal RNA, 445 nt
Filed under: uncultured bacterium
Lineage: Bacteria
Description: SSU rRNA
Rfam family: Bacterial small subunit ribosomal RNA
Source: RNAcentral
AGAACGAACGCUGGCGGCAGGCUUAACACAUGCAAGUCGAGCGCCCCGCAAGGGGAGCGGCAGACGGGUGAGUAACGCGUGGGAAUCUACCUGGUUCUACGGAAUAACACAGGGAAACUUGUGCUAAAUACCGUAUACGCCCUAUGGGGGAAAGAUUUAUCGGUGCCAGAUGAGCCCGCGUAAGAUUAGCUAGUUGGUGGGGUAAUGGCCUACCAAGGCGACGAUCUUUAGCUGGUCUGAGAGGAUGAUCAGCCACACUGGGACUGAGACACGGCCCAGACUCCUACGGGAGGCAGCAGUGGGGAAUAUUGGACAAUGGGCGAAAGCCUGAUCCAGCCAUGCCGCGUGAGUGAUGAAGGCCUUAGGGUUGUAAAGCUCUUUCAGUGGGAAGAUAAUGACGGUACCCACAGAAGAAGCCCCGGACUAACUUCGUGCCAGCAGCCGC